Helicoverpa armigera (cotton bollworm) is the source of this 768-nucleotide long non-coding RNA. RefSeq lists it as uncharacterized. Lineage: Eukaryota; Metazoa; Arthropoda; Insecta; Lepidoptera; Noctuidae. The record is from RefSeq and is a predicted model, not a curated record. The transcript is spliced from 3 exons.
AACACAGGCCACCGGCGGACCGGAGGGGAGUAGCCAUACACAGGCGUUCCCCUCUGUCAAAGUACAAGUCCAAAUGGUCCUAUGCGUACAAUAAAACUAGUUGCAACUAAACUAUUCGCUAGACUAAAUCUAGUUGCGUGAGUGAAUCGACGUCGUCGUAAAAAAUGCCGAAUUGUUCUGUUUUUUGCUGCAAAAAGAGAUCUGCCACGUCAAAUUUACAAAAAGAUGGCGUUACCUUUCAUAUGUUUCCUAAAGAUCCAAAUUUAAGAAAUAUAUGGAAGACAUUUUCUCAUAACAGACCAACCUGGAUUCCCACAAGAAAUAGUGUCAUUUGCUCAAAUCAUUUUAAGACCUCUGACUUUCAAGUGUUGGCGAACAAUAGGAGGAGAUUAGUCGAUGGCGCCAAACCAACCGCCAACUGUAUUUGUUCCGUAAGUUUUUAUUUUAUUCAUGUGCAAGGUCAUAGAUAAUAUAAUACUAGCUUAGGUAAACGAAUAGUACAUUCCACAUGAUGUACCUCGUUGACGUUAGUCAUAGUGGUGAAAUGAAGCCUACAUUUUUAAACUUAAUCUAAUUUUCCAGAAUCAUCGACAAUCAUUAAAUAUACCAGAUGAGAGGUUAUCAUCUAAUGGGCCCAUUAAUGACACUCGGACUAUUCCUAAUUCAUUGACAUCACCGUGUAGAUCGUCAACUCCUCAAAAUACUCAGUCAAAGGAAACAUCUAAAAAAUCUGCUUCAAUUCCCACUACUGCACUUACACCAAGAAAA